CCUACGGGUGGCAGCAGUGAGGAAUAUUGGUCAAUGGGCGAGAGCCUGAACCAGCCAAGUCGCGUGAAGGAUGACGGCCCUACGGGUUGUAACCUUCUUUUGUCAGGGAGCAAUUGGGUCCACGCGUGGGCUUAGCGAGAUUACCUGAAUAAAAAGCAUCGGCUAACUCAGUGCCAGCAGCCGCGGUAAUACGGAGGAUGCGAGCGGUAUCCGGAUUGAUUGGGUUUAGAGGGUGCGUAGGCGGAAUAGCAAGUCAGCGGGAAAAAUUCGGGGCUCAACCCCGUCGUGCCGUUGAAACUGAUGUUCUUGAGUGGGCGAGAAGUAUGCGGAAUGCGUGGUGUAGCGGUGAAAUGCAUAGAUAUCACGCAGAACUCCGAUUGCGAAGGCAGCAUACCGGCGCCCAACUGACGCUGAAGCACGAAAGCGUGGGUAUCGAACAGGAUUAGAUACCCGGGUAGUC
RNAcentral lists this ribosomal RNA (460 nucleotides) under uncultured bacterium. RNAcentral describes it as "partial 16S ribosomal RNA". It matches the Rfam family "Bacterial small subunit ribosomal RNA", at positions 338 to 795 of the family's 1533-position model. The record is from RNAcentral.